CAGCAGCCACGGUAAUACGAAGGGUGCAAGCGUUACUCGGAAUUACUGGGCGUAAAGCGUGCGUAGGUGGUGGUUUAAGUCCGUUGUGAAAGCCCUGGGCUCAACCUGGGAAUUGCAGUGGAUACUGGGUCACUAGAGUGUGGUAGAGGAUAGUGGAAUUUCCGGUGUAGCAGUGAAAUGCGUAGAGAUCGGAAGGAAUAUCUGUGGCGAAGGCGACUAUCUGGGCCAACACUGACACUGAGGCACGAAAGCGUGGGGAGCAAACAGGAUUAGAUACCCCGGUAGUCCCUGUCUCUUAUAC
Molecule: ribosomal RNA, 301 nt
Filed under: uncultured bacterium
Lineage: Bacteria
Description: partial 16S ribosomal RNA
Rfam family: Bacterial small subunit ribosomal RNA
Source: RNAcentral